CUGUACCACGCUUGCACUCCGAUCUGCACGACGGCCGCACCUACCUGACGGCUGCUCGCGAGGUUUGUUAGCC
This 73-nucleotide small RNA is filed under the name Xanthomonas cannabis. RNAcentral's name for it is "sX9 sRNA". It matches the Rfam family "Xanthomonas sRNA sX9". The record is from RNAcentral. Lineage: Bacteria; Pseudomonadati; Pseudomonadota; Gammaproteobacteria; Lysobacterales; Lysobacteraceae.